GACGAACGCUGGCGGCGUGCUUAACACAUGCAAGUCGAACGGAAAGGCCCUGCUUUUGUGGGGUGCUCGAGUGGCGAACGGGUGAGUAACACGUGAGUAACCUGCCCUUGACUUUGGGAUAACUUCAGGAAACUGGGGCUAAUACCGGAUAGGAGCUCCUGCUGCAUGGUGGGGGUUGGAAAGUUUCGGCGGUUGGGGAUGGACUCGCGGCUUAUCAGCUUGUUGGUGGGGUAGUGGCUUACCAAGGCUUUGACGGGUAGCCGGCCUGAGAGGGUGACCGGCCACAUUGGAACUGAGAUACGGCCCAGACUCCUACGGGAGGCAGCAGUGGGGAAUAUUGCACAAUGGGCGGAAGCCUGAUGCAGCAACGCCGCGUGCGGGAUGACGGCGUUCGGGUUGUAAACCGCUUUCGCCUGUGACGAAGCGUGAGUGACGGUAAUGGGUAAAGAAGCACCGGCUAACUACGU
This 467-nucleotide ribosomal RNA is filed under the name uncultured bacterium. Its description in RNAcentral is "partial 16S ribosomal RNA". It matches the Rfam family "Bacterial small subunit ribosomal RNA", at positions 28 to 506 of the family's 1533-position model. The record is from RNAcentral.